RNAcentral lists this long non-coding RNA (227 nucleotides) under Olea europaea (common olive). Its description in RNAcentral is "long non-coding RNA (OEUR_LNC006095)". Lineage: Eukaryota; Viridiplantae; Streptophyta; Magnoliopsida; Lamiales; Oleaceae. The record is from RNAcentral.
GAAGAUUCACCGGAACCCGAGAGCUAGCAAGAGAAUAGAAAGAAUUCCAUGUUGGCACGCUCCCUCCUAUUGUAGGCUUAUUUUCCACUGGACAGUGUUACGGAAACUUCCAACGAAAAUGGCUGCUUUAUUCAUUUUGUGUUUGCAAUGAAUUGAGUGGUUCCUUCGAGGAAGCGCUGUAAAAUGUAAAACAGUUGGCACGCGACUGACGUACGCUUUGCUUUCUU